RNAcentral lists this ribosomal RNA (253 nucleotides) under uncultured bacterium. RNAcentral's name for it is "partial 16S ribosomal RNA". It matches the Rfam family "Bacterial small subunit ribosomal RNA", at positions 524 to 776 of the family's 1533-position model. The record is from RNAcentral.
UACGGGGUGGGCAAGCGUUGUUCGGAAUUACUGGGCGUAAAGGGCUCGUAGGCGGCCAACUAAGUCGGAUGUGAAAUCCCCAGGCUUAACCUGGGAACUGCAUCCGAUACUGGAUGGCUUGAAUCCGGGAGAGGGAUGCGGAAUUCCAGGUGUAGCGGUGAAAUGCGUAGAUAUCUGGAGGAACACCGGUGGCGAAGGCGGCAUCCUGGACCGGCAUUGACGCUGAGGCGCGAAAGCCAGGGGAGCAAACGGG